RNAcentral lists this ribosomal RNA (2438 nucleotides) under Lepocinclis oxyuris. Its description in RNAcentral is "SSU rRNA". It matches the Rfam family "Eukaryotic small subunit ribosomal RNA". Lineage: Eukaryota; Euglenozoa; Euglenophyceae; Euglenales; Phacaceae. The record is from RNAcentral.
UAACCUGGUUGAUCCUGCCAGUAGUCAUAUGCUUCGUUCAAGGGCUAAGCCAUGCAUGUCUCAGAGUACACGGGUCUUCCCACAGUGGGUCUGUGAAUGGCUCCUUACAUCAGCAGUCAUCUCCAUGAUAGAGUGUGGAUGGCACCACUCCUGCCAGGUGCCCGCUUGGACAUCCUCCAAAACCUGGUGGCUAAUACACGAUCGCAGAGCUCCGCCGUGUGCACGUUUGCCUGAGCUUUCCAUGGCCCACCUGACGGUGGUGGAUUGCACCCAGCCGCUGARAAGACCAGCGCCUGUGAAAAGGGCAGUGUGUGCAAGGCUGACUCAGGCUGGUCCCCACUGGGACAGUUGCGCUGGCAGAGAGUUUGGUGGCCUUGUGCCACACAGCAUUGCUUGAUCACACGAACUUCUGACCUAUCASCCUUGACUGUGGUGCAGUGGACCACAGUGGCAGUCACGGGUAACGGAGAAUCAGGGUUCGAUUCCGGAGAGGGAGCCUGAGAGACGGCUACCACUACCAAGGUGGGCAGCAGGCACGCAAAUUGCCCAAUGCUGAGACACUUCUGGUGAGGCAGCGACGAACUGCAGCAACUCUGCCUGUCUCUUUGACUGGCAGAGCUUGGAAUGGAUGCAAUCCAAACACAGUGAUGAGUAUCAACUGGAGGGCAAGUCUGGUGCCAGCAGCUGCGGUAAUUCCAGCUCCAAGGGCGUAUACUGACAUUGCUGCUGUUAAAACACUUGUAGUCGGACGCAGGGUGCAGGUCUGGUGAGUGGCUGGUGUGGAUCUCUGGGUGGACAGCUCUGUGCUGCUCACCACCAGGUGCAAGCCUGUGUGGGGCACACAUCUGGCCAAUCCGGACCUCUGUGCUGGACAAAACCCUUGCCAGUAUGUUCCUGCACCCGUCUUCUCAUCGAUGGUGCGAUGGCUCCUGCUCCAAGUCCCCUUCAGUGGGGAUCGAUGCGGUUGUACACCCAAUGCUUGUGUGUCUGGCAACUGGAGGGCACAGUUUUCCUGGUGCACUGUGCAGCUUGACCUCCUGCCCACCACCGGAGUCCACCAUCCUCUGUCACCGUGGAGAACUCAGUGUGCUCAAUGCAUCCAAUUUGGCUGGAUGAUCGUCCAUGGAAUGUCAAAGCAUCGACCAGAUGUGGCCAAUCAGAGUUGUGCUGGCCUUGGUGCUCAUCCUGGGGAACCUGGUGCCCCGACUGGGCAGCUGUCACAAGUGCCUGACCCCUCACCUGUCUGGCCUGCUCGUCAGAGUGGGUACUCGGGGGUGUGGGGGGGCCUUGGUGAUGGGCUGUUCCAGGUCAGGUACCGAUCGGCCUUGAUGGGACUGCUCGGGGUGAAGGAUACUGCAGCGCCAGAGGUGAAAUUCUUAGACCGCUGCAAGAUCAACUGCAGCGAAGGCGCUCUGCAAGUGCAUGUUCGUCGAUCAAGAAUGAGAGUGUGGGGAGCGAAGAUGAUCAGACACCGUCGUAGUCCACGACUGUCAACCAUGCCAGCUCGGUGCCGAUGGUGCAAGUGCACAGACAUCACCAGCGCCAAUCCCCUUGCCUCGAGAAAUCCACAAGCCUGUGGGUUCAGGGGGGAGUACUGUCGCAAGGCUGAAACUUAAAGGAAUUGACGGAAUGGCACCACAAGGCGUGGAGUAUGCGGCUUAAUUUGACUCAACACGGGGAAUGUUACCAGGUCAGGACACUGCUGGGAUGGACAGAUUGAGAGCUCUUUCUUGAUCCUCUGGAUGGUGGUGCAUGGCCGCUCCUGAUUGGUGGAGUGAUUUGUCUGGUUGAUUCCGAUAACGAGUGAGAUCUCUGCCUCCCAAUAGCCCCAGGCUCGCAUCUGUAGGGCUCGGCAGUGGUUUGGAUCCCCACCCUGUCCAGGGUGCAAGCUCUGGUUCAGGUCUGGGGCCCUCCACUCCACAGGCUGCCCGAGAGCCAUGGGACAAGCUUCUCUGAGGUGCUGCGGACGCCACCAAGUCCACGCAUGCUAGAGCCAACAGCAGGUCUGUGAUGCUCCCAGAUGUCCUGGGCCGCACGCGCACUACAAUGGUCCGGUGAAUGUGCUGAGCCACCCGCCUUGGCGGGACCUGCCCGGAAGUGGGUGGGAAACCCCAAGAGCCCGAGUUGCCGUGCUGGGGAUAGAUGAUUGCAACUGUCUGCCUUGAACGAGGAAUGCCUAGUAGGCGCAGGUCAUCAGCCUGCACCGAUUGUGUCCCUGCCAUUUGUACACACCGCCCGUCGUUGCUACCGAUGGUAGCUGGAUAGAGCCAUCAGGAGGCUACUGCCUCAUCCAGUGGGGUCAGUGCUGUGGCUCCUCUUCGGAGGUCCUGCGGCCUGUCUCUGCUGGGAGGUUGGGGCCAAAAUCGGGCAAUGUCCUGCUGCUAGAGGAAGCAAAAGUCGUAACAAGGUUGCUGUAGGUGAACCUGCAGAAGGAUCAA